RNAcentral lists this transfer RNA (73 nucleotides) under Chloroflexota bacterium. Its description in RNAcentral is "tRNA-Ser". It matches the Rfam family "tRNA". From Rfam's summary of the family: Transfer RNA (tRNA) molecules are approximately 80 nucleotides in length. The record is from RNAcentral. Lineage: Bacteria; Bacillati; Chloroflexota.
GCGGAAAUUCACGCUUCCCGCAACAGGCUCCUUGCCAAGGAGAAGGUCGCGAGUUCGAAUCUCGUCUUCCGCU